This 253-nucleotide ribosomal RNA is filed under the name uncultured bacterium. RNAcentral's name for it is "partial 16S ribosomal RNA". It matches the Rfam family "Bacterial small subunit ribosomal RNA", at positions 524 to 776 of the family's 1533-position model. The record is from RNAcentral.
UACGGAGGGAGCUAGCGUUGUUCGGAAUUACUGGGCGUAAAGCGCACGUAGGCGGCUAUUCAAGUCGGGGGUGAAAGCCCGGGGCUCAACCCCGGAACUGCCCUCGAAACUAGAUAGCUAGAAUCUUGGAGAGGCGAGUGGAAUUCCGAGUGUAGAGGUGAAAUUCGUAGAUAUUCGGAAGGACACCAGUGGCGAAGGCGACUCGCUGGACACAUAUUGACGCUGAGGUGCGAAAGCGUGGGGAGCAAACAGG